GAGAAGUGGCGGCAGCUACCAUGACAGUCGAACGAUGAACCACCUUCGGGUGGGGAUUAGUGGCGAACGGGUGAGUAACACGUGGGCAAUCUGCCCUGCACUCUGGGACAAGCCCUGGAAACGGGGUCUAAUACCGGAUACUGAACCGCUUGGGCAUCCAGGCGGUUCGAAAGCUCCGGCGGUGCAGGAUGAGCCCGCGGCCUAUCAGCUUGUUGGUGAGGUAACGGCUCACCAAGGCGACGACGGGUAGCCGGCCUGAGAGGGCGACCGGCCACACUGGGACUGAGACACGGCCCAGACUCCUACGGGAGGCAGCAGUGGGGAAUAUUGCACAAUGGGCGAAAGCCUGAUGCAGCGACGCCGCGUGAGGGAUGACGGCCUUCGGGUUGUAAACCUCUUUCAGCAGGGAAGAAGCGAAAGUGACGGUACCUGCAGAAGAAGCGCCGGCUAACUACGUGCCAGCAGCCGCGGUAAUACGUAGGGCGCGAGCGUUGUCCGGAAUUAUUGGGCGUAAAGAGCUCGUAGGCGGCUUGUCACGUCGGUUGUGAAAGCCCGGGGCUUAACCCCGGGUCUGCAGUCGAUACGGGCAGGCUAGAGUUCGGUAGGGGAGAUCGGAAUUCCUGGUGUAGCGGUGAAAUGCGCAGAUAUCAGGAGGAACACCGGUGGCGAAGGCGGAUCUCUGGGCCGAUACUGACGCUGAGGAGCGAAAGCGUGGGGAGCGAACAGGAUUAGAUACCCUGGUAGUCCACGCCGUAAACGGUGGGCACUAGGUGUGGGCGACAUUCCACGUCGUCCGUGCCGCAGCUAACGCAUUAAGUGCCCCGCCUGGGGAGUACGGCCGCAAGGCUAAAACUCAAAGGAAUUGACGGGGGCCCGCACAAGCGGCGGAGCAUGUGGCUUAAUUCGACGCAACGCGAAGAACCUUACCAAGGCUUGACAUACACCGGAAAACCCUGGAGACAGGGUCCCCCUUGUGGUCGGUGUACAGGUGGUGCAUGGC
RNAcentral lists this ribosomal RNA (1000 nucleotides) under Streptomyces sp. ZZY-2013. RNAcentral's name for it is "bacterial SSU rRNA". It matches the Rfam family "Bacterial small subunit ribosomal RNA", at positions 31 to 1049 of the family's 1533-position model. The record is from RNAcentral. Lineage: Bacteria; Bacillati; Actinomycetota; Actinomycetes; Kitasatosporales; Streptomycetaceae.